This 253-nucleotide ribosomal RNA is filed under the name uncultured bacterium. RNAcentral describes it as "partial 16S ribosomal RNA". It matches the Rfam family "Bacterial small subunit ribosomal RNA", at positions 524 to 776 of the family's 1533-position model. The record is from RNAcentral.
UACGGGGGGGGCAAGCGUUGUUCGGAAUUACUGGGCGUAAAGGGCUCGUAGGCGGCCAACUAAGUCAGACGUGAAAUCCCUCGGCUUAACCGGGGAACUACGUCUGAUACUGGAUGGCUUGAGUUCGGGAGAGGGAUGCGGAAUUCCAGGUGUAGCGGUGAAAUGCGUAGAUAUCUGGAGGAACACCGGUGGCGAAGGCGGCAUCCUGGACCGAUACUGACGCUGAGGAGCGAAAGCCAGGGGAGCAAACGGG